RNAcentral lists this ribosomal RNA (119 nucleotides) under Triticum aestivum (bread wheat). The record is from RNAcentral. Lineage: Eukaryota; Viridiplantae; Streptophyta; Magnoliopsida; Poales; Poaceae.
GGAUGCGAUCAUACUAGCACUAAAGCACCGGAUCCCAUCAGAACUCUGAAGUUAAGCGUGCUUGGGCGAGAGUAGUACCAGGAUGGGUGACCUCCUGGGAAGUCCUCGUGUUCCAUUCC